CCCUAAAUCCCAAAAUCCAUGGCUCACGCCACGCCUCCCUCUCCCGUUCGCGAGACCGACGGCACCUCCCUCUCCCGAGACCGACUCCGAUCGCGAAGCUCCGGCCGAGGUCCCCCUUCCGCGUGCUUCCCUACCCUGGCUAAAGGCUUACACGCCUGAAAGCUUCGCCUAAAGGCUUACCCCGCGCGACUUUUGUCGCUUCUCCUCGGCUCACCGCCCAGGUGAGUGCACCCCAUUUUGGGAGUUCCUUAGGGUUGACCGAAAAUUUUUGAGAAGGGAUAGGUGCUGCCAAAAAAAAUCUGAGUUCUUUAUUAGUUGUGGCAUUUUCUGUGGAAUCCCUGGAGCUCUCUCUCUGGCCUAGAGAUUCUUAUGCUUGAUUUUCUUACUCAUCAGGAGGGGAUUCCAUUUUCAAUAAUACUUUGAGAGGCAUAUACUACUAAAUAUGACAUGGUUCCUCCUCAGAACCUUUCUGGAAUGCAAAGGCAGGUCUUGGCUCUAUACCGCCACUUUCUACGGGCGGCCCGAUCAAAGAAUCUCGACGAGCGAAAAAUGAUUAUCUCUGUUGUCUCCACGGAGUUCCGCCAUAGUGCCGAUCAUGUUGAUCGAAAAAGCUUCCAACACAUCGAAUAUCUCUUGCGGCGCGGGAGGAGGCAGCUCGAGCAGCUAAAGAGCUCCACCACCAUUUCUCUGUCGACAAUCAAUCUGAAUUCUUCCACUUCCAAGACGGUCCAUGAAGACAAGAAGCUUGCUUAAGACAGAGAUGUUAAACCGAUAUUUGGUCUAGUGGGCACCACUAUCGAUUCCUGCAAUGAGUUGAAAACCCAGAUGUGCUUGUAUUUGAUUCGAAAAGGCCACGUCACGGGAUUCGAACCCCUGACUCGACGCAUCAAUGAGCAUGGUCAUU
Phalaenopsis equestris is the source of this 904-nucleotide long non-coding RNA. RefSeq lists it as uncharacterized. The transcript is spliced from 4 exons. NCBI's taxonomy places the organism in Eukaryota, Viridiplantae, Streptophyta, Magnoliopsida, Asparagales, Orchidaceae. The record is from RefSeq and is a predicted model, not a curated record.